Molecule: non-coding RNA, 79 nt
Organism: Podarcis lilfordi (Lilford's wall lizard)
Lineage: Eukaryota; Metazoa; Chordata; Lepidosauria; Squamata; Lacertidae
Source: the annotation of a GenBank genome assembly
GCCUGAGAUAGCUCAGUUGGUAGAGUAUAAGACUACAGUAUUAAUCUCAGGGUUGUGGGUUUGAGCCACACAUUGGGCA